RNAcentral lists this ribosomal RNA (120 nucleotides) under Carlito syrichta (Philippine tarsier). The record is from RNAcentral. Lineage: Eukaryota; Metazoa; Chordata; Mammalia; Primates; Tarsiidae.
GACUAGUGCCAACCACCCUGAACCCGCCCGUCUCCUCUGAUCUUGGAAGCUAAGCAGGGUCGGACCUGGUUAGUAUAUACUUGGAUAGAGACUUCCUGAGGACACCAGGCGCUCUAGGCU